RNAcentral lists this ribosomal RNA (30 nucleotides) under Rotylenchulus reniformis. RNAcentral describes it as "partial 5.8S ribosomal RNA". Lineage: Eukaryota; Metazoa; Nematoda; Chromadorea; Rhabditida; Hoplolaimidae. The record is from RNAcentral.
CUAGUCUUAUCGGUGGAGCACUCGGCUCGU